AUUGAACGCUGGCGGCAUGCCUUACACAUGCAAGUCGAACGGCAGCGCGGGGCAACCUGGCGGCGAGUGGCGAACGGGUGAGUAAUAUAUCGGAACGUACCCUGGAGUGGGGGAUAACGUAGCGAAAGUUACGCUAAUACCGCAUACGAUCUAAGGAUGAAAGUGGGGGAUCGCAAGACCUCAUGCUCCUGGAGCGGCCGAUAUCUGAUUAGCUAGUUGGUAGGGUAAAAGCCUACCAAGGCAUCGAUCAGUAGCUGGUCUGAGAGGACGACCAGCCACACUGGAACUGAGACACGGUCCAGACUCCUACGGGAGGCAGCAGUGGGGAAUUUUGGACAAUGGGCGCAAGCCUGAUCCAGCAAUGCCGCGUGAGUGAAGAAGGCCUUCGGGUUGUAAAGCUCUUUUGUCAGGGAAGAAACGGGUUUUUCUAAUACAGAGAUCUAAUGACGGUACCUGAAGAAUAAGCACCGGCUAACUACGUGCCAGCAGCCGCGGUAAUACGUAGGGUGCAAGCGUUAAUCGGAAUUACUGGGCGUAAAGCGUGCGCAGGCGGUUUUGUAAGACUGUCGUGAAAUCCCCGGGCUCAACCUGGGAAUGGCGAUGGUGACUGCAAGGCUAGAGUUUGGCAGAGGGGGGUAGAAUUCCACGUGUAGCAGUGAAAUGCGUAGAUAUGUGGAGGAACACCGAUGGCGAAGGCAGCCCCCUGGGUCAAAACUGACGCUCAUGCACGAAAGCGUGGGGAGCAAACAGGAUUAGAUACCCUGGUAGUCCACGCCCUAAACGAUGUCUACUAGUUGUCGGGUUUUAAUUAACUUGGUAACGCAGCUAACGCGUGAAGUAGACCGCCUGGGGAGUACGGUCGCAAGAUUAAAACUCAAAGGAAUUGACGGGGACCCGCACAAGCGGUGGAUGAUGUGGAUUAAUUCGAUGCAACGCGAAAAACCUUACCUACCCUUGACAUGGCAGAAAUCCUCGAGAGAUUGAGGAGUGCUCGAAAGAGAAUCUGCACACAGGUGCUGCAUGGCUGUCGUCAGCUCGUGUCGUGAGAUGUUGGGUUAAGUCCCGCAACGAGCGCAACCCUUGUCAUUAGUUGCUACGAAAGAGCACUCUAAUGAGACUGCCGGUGACAAACCGGAGGAAGGUGGGGAUGACGUCAAGUCCUCAUGGCCCUUAUGGGUAGGGCUUCACACGUCAUACAA
RNAcentral lists this ribosomal RNA (1199 nucleotides) under uncultured bacterium. RNAcentral describes it as "bacterial SSU rRNA". It matches the Rfam family "Bacterial small subunit ribosomal RNA", at positions 28 to 1230 of the family's 1533-position model. The record is from RNAcentral.